RNAcentral lists this transfer RNA (71 nucleotides) under Pseudohongiella sp. Its description in RNAcentral is "tRNA-Phe". Lineage: Bacteria; Pseudomonadati; Pseudomonadota; Gammaproteobacteria; Pseudomonadales; Pseudohongiellaceae. The record is from RNAcentral.
GUGGUGUAGUAUGGUUUGGGUAAACCAAUGAAAAUGGUGCAAAGAGAGUUCGAAUCUCUCCGGGUGCACCA